AGAACGAACGCUGGCGGCAUGCCUAAUACAUGCAAGUCGAACGAACACUUCGGUGUUAGUGGCGCACGGGUGCGUAACGCGUGGGAAUCUGCCCUUGGGUUCGGAAUAACAGUUGGAAACGACUGCUAAUACCGGAUGAUGACGAAAGUCCAAAGAUUUAUCGCCCAGGGAUGAGCCCGCGUAGGAUUAGCUAGUUGGUGAGGUAAAGGCUCACCAAGGCGACGAUCCUUAGCUGGUCUGAGAGGAUGAUCAGCCACACUGGGACUGAGACACGGCCCAGACUCCUACGGGAGCAGCAGUAGGGAAUAUUGGACAAGU
RNAcentral lists this ribosomal RNA (318 nucleotides) under uncultured soil bacterium. RNAcentral describes it as "bacterial SSU rRNA". It matches the Rfam family "Bacterial small subunit ribosomal RNA", at positions 26 to 373 of the family's 1533-position model. The record is from RNAcentral.